UACGUAGGGUGCGAGCGUUAAUCGGAAUUACUGGGCGUAAAGCGUGCGCAGGCGGUUCGUCAAGUCAGAUGUGAAAGCCCCGGGCUCAACCUGGGAACUGCAUUUGAAACUGGCGGGCUUGAGUGUGGCAGAGGGGGGUGGAAUUCCGCGUGUAGCAGUGAAAUGCGUAGAGAUGCGGAGGAACACCGAUGGCGAAGGCAGCCCCCUGGGCCAACACUGACGCUCAGGCACGAAAGCGUGGGGAGCAAACAGG
Molecule: ribosomal RNA, 253 nt
Filed under: uncultured bacterium
Lineage: Bacteria
Description: partial 16S ribosomal RNA
Rfam family: Bacterial small subunit ribosomal RNA
Source: RNAcentral